GAAUUGACGGGGACCCGCACAAGCGGUGGAGCAUGUGGUUUAAUUCGAAGCAACGCGAAGAACCUUACCAGAUCUUGAGAUCCAGAUGAAUGACGGGCAAUGCCGUCAGCCCUUCGGGGCAUCUGAGACAGGUGGUGCAUGGUUGUCGUCAGCUCGUGUCGUGAGAUGUUGGGUUAAGUCCCGCAACGAGCGCAACCCUUGUCCAUAGUAGCCAGCAGUAAGAUGGGCACUCUAUGGAGACUGCCAGGGAUAACCUGGAGGAAGGUGGGGAUGACGUCAAAUCAUCAUGCCCCUUAUGAUCUGGGCCACACACGUGCUACAAUGUCGUAAACAAAGGGACGCAACCCCGCGAGGGUGAGCAAAUCCCAAAAUAACGACCCACGUUCGGACUGCAGGCUGCAACCCGCCCUGCACGAAGCUGGAAUCGCUAGUAAUCGCAGAUCAGAAUGCUGCGGUGAAUACGUUCCCGGGUC
Molecule: ribosomal RNA, 473 nt
Filed under: uncultured Butyrivibrio sp.
Lineage: Bacteria; Bacillati; Bacillota; Clostridia; Lachnospirales; Lachnospiraceae
Description: bacterial SSU rRNA
Rfam family: Bacterial small subunit ribosomal RNA
Source: RNAcentral